RNAcentral lists this transfer RNA (71 nucleotides) under Nanobdellota archaeon. RNAcentral's name for it is "tRNA-Gly". It matches the Rfam family "tRNA". Rfam says of the family: Transfer RNA (tRNA) molecules are approximately 80 nucleotides in length. The record is from RNAcentral. Lineage: Archaea; Nanobdellati; Nanobdellota.
GCGUGAGUGGUCUAAUGGUAUGAUUUCCCGCUUCCAACGAGACGACCCGGGUUCGAUUCCCGGCUCGCGCA